RNAcentral lists this ribosomal RNA (208 nucleotides) under uncultured Pseudomonadota bacterium. RNAcentral's name for it is "uncultured proteobacterium partial 16S ribosomal RNA". It matches the Rfam family "Bacterial small subunit ribosomal RNA", at positions 568 to 775 of the family's 1533-position model. Lineage: Bacteria; Pseudomonadati; Pseudomonadota. The record is from RNAcentral.
CGUGUAGGCGGCCGGAUAUGUCAGAUGUGAAAGCCCCGGGCUUAACCCGGGAAGUGCAUUUGAAACUGUCCGGCUCGAGUAGGGGAGAGGGAAGUGGAAUUCCUGGUGUAGAGGUGAAAUUCGUAGAUAUCAGGAGGAACACCGGUGGCGAAGGCGACUUCCUGGCCCUAUACUGACGCUGAGACGCGAGAGCGUGGGUAGCAAACAG